Molecule: ribosomal RNA, 254 nt
Filed under: uncultured bacterium
Lineage: Bacteria
Description: partial 16S ribosomal RNA
Rfam family: Bacterial small subunit ribosomal RNA
Source: RNAcentral
UACGUAGGGUGCAAGCGUUGUCCGGAAUUAUUGGGCGUAAAGAGCUCGUAGGCGGUCUGUCGCGUCGAAUGUGAAAACCCGGGGCUCAACCCCGGGCCUGCAUUCGAUACGGGCAGACUAGAGUUCGGUAGGGGAGUCUGGAAUUCCUGGUGUAGCGGUGAAAUGCGCAGAUAUCAGGAGGAACACCGGUGGCGAAGGCGGGACUCUGGGCCGAUACUGACGCUGAGGAGCGAAAGCGUGGGGGAGCGAACAGG